AAGAUUAAGCCAUGCAUGUCUAAGUAUAAGCAAUUAUACAGCGAAACUGCGAAUGGCUCAUUAUAUAAGUUAUCGUUUAUUUGAUAGUACCUUACUACUUGGAUAACCGUGGUAAUUCUAGAGCUAAUACAUGCUAAAAAUCCCGACUUCGGAAGGGAUGUAUUUAUUAGAUUAAAAACCAAUGCCCUCCGGGGCUCACUGGUGAUUCAUGAUAACUCCUCGAAUCGCAUGGCCUUGCGCCGGCGAUGGUUCAUUCAAAUUUCUUCCCUAUCAACUUUCGAUGUUUGGGUAUUGGCCAAACAUGGUUGCAACGGGUAACGGAGGGUUAGGGCUCGACCCCGGAGAAGGAGCCUGAGAAACGGCUACUACAUCCAAGGAAGGCAGCAGGCGCGCAAAUUACCCAAUCCCGACUCGGGGAGGUAGUGACAAUAAAUACUGAUACAGGGCUCUUUUGGGUCUUGUAAUUGGAAUGAGUACAAUUUAAAUCCCUUAACGAGGAACAAUUGGAGGGCAAGUCUGGUGCCAGCAGCCGCGGUAAUUCCAGCUCCAAUAGCGUAUAUUAAAGUUGUUGUGGUUAAAAAGCUCGUAGUUGAACCUUGGGCCUGGCUGGCCGGUCCGCCUCACCGCGUGUACUGGUCCGGCCGGGCCUUUCCCUCUGUGGAACCCCAUGCCCUUCACUGGGUGUGGCGGGGAAACAGGACUUUUACUGUGAAAAAAUUAGAGUGCUCCAGGCAGGCCUAUGCUCGAAUACAUUAGCAUGGAAUAAUAGAAUAGGACGUGUGGUUCUAUUUUGUUGGUUUCUAGGACCGCCGUAAUGAUUAAUAGGGACAG
RNAcentral lists this ribosomal RNA (831 nucleotides) under Fusarium neocosmosporiellum. RNAcentral describes it as "SSU rRNA". It matches the Rfam family "Eukaryotic small subunit ribosomal RNA", at positions 40 to 881 of the family's 1831-position model. The record is from RNAcentral. Lineage: Eukaryota; Fungi; Ascomycota; Sordariomycetes; Hypocreales; Nectriaceae.